Molecule: ribosomal RNA, 397 nt
Filed under: uncultured microorganism
Description: bacterial SSU rRNA
Rfam family: Bacterial small subunit ribosomal RNA
Source: RNAcentral
GAGUUUGAUCUUGGCUCAGAGUGAACGCUGGCGGUAGGCCUAACACAUGCAAGUCGAACGGCAGCACAGAGGAGCUUGCUCCUUGGGUGGCGAGUGGCGGACGGGUGAGGAAUACAUCGGAAUCUACUCUGUCGUGGGGGAUAACGUAGGGAAACUUACGCUAAUACCGCAUACGACCUACGGGUGAAAGCAGGGGAUCUUCGGACCUUGCGCGAUUGAAUGAGCCGAUGUCGGAUUAGCUAGUUGGCGGGGUAAAGGCCCACCAGGGCGACGAUCCGUAGCUGGUCUGAGAGGAUGAUCAGCCACACUGGAACUGAGACACGGUCCAGACUCCUACGGGAGGCAGCAGUGGGGAAUAUUGGACAAUGGGCGCAAGCCUGAUCCAGCCAUACCGCGU